CCAAUUUGGCUAUAUAAGCAAGUACGCUCUUGUCUGGUGUAAUCAUUCACAGUUAUAAGGCUCAUAGUCAAGUACAAUAUUGAUACAUCAAUACAAUCAAGAAAGAGAAACCUAUAGAAAAAGAAACAUAGAUCAAAUGGAGAGUGAGAAAAUGUGGGGAGGCUUAAUGAAUAGAGUGAAACCAUACUUAGCAAUGAUAUCUAUGCAAUUUGGUUAUGCCGGUAUGUACAUAAUCACCAUGGUCUCUCUUAAGCAUGGCAUGAACCAUUACAUCCUGGCCGUUUACCGCCACGCAAUCGCCACGGUCGUCAUCGCGCCGUUUGCUCUAUUUCAUGAGAGGUAUAUAUAUAACUCUUUUUGUCUUAUUUGUGAAUUAACUGACAGAAAAUUCUACACCAAAGCUCUAUAGUAGAAAAAGAGUAUGUCAAUUAACAUAGCAUUAACUACUAUACUACCAUAAUUUCGAUGUCUAUGUAAGUUUUGCCGUAUCUAGGUCAUACAAACAUGUUAAAUCUUAUAACUUAAUAAAAUCAAGUAUGUAAUUUUUUUAUUGUUAUGCGUAUGCAGGAAAACAAGGCCGAAGAUGACGUUCCGGAUAUUCCUUCAAAUUGCGCUGCUCGGAUUUAUUGAGUAAUACUCGUCCAUUAGUCUCAUAAUACAUUCACAACUAAACACUAUAAGAACAAUCUCCGCAUAUUUUUUGAAGUUCUUAUAUAGUUAAUAAAUAUAUUAGUAGUAGUGAUAAUUAAAUAAAAAGGUCAUUAAAUGGGUGUUACUAAUGUGGCUCGUCGUCGGGUUCAUCAGGGUUGGAGAGAUCGAUUGAUUUUAAGUUGCGCCUGGUUUAGGGUUUAUGUGUGACGGAUUUUAGGUUAAGUUUUGUCUCAGGGUUUUGGAGUCUAUCGUGCUGAUAACGUGUUGUAAUUAGAGAGUUUAGAGACUGAAUACUUGAUCAAGGAGGUUCCUUUAUAUAAGGAUUACAAGAUGAAGAUAAAUGGAAAGUAUCCAAAAUCUAAACACACUAGGAUUAGAAAAACUACUAAUACAUAAUAAUGGAAAGAUUACAUCUAUUAGGAAAAAGAAAGGGUUUUCUUUUCUCCAAGCUUUGUGGCUCUCUCUCUCUCCUAAAGUCGGCUCUCUCUCUCCUCUCUCUAGGGCUUCGGCCGUCUCUCCAUCUUCUAGGUUUUGGGCCGGUCUUGGACCGGGCCUGGUUAAUGGCAAUCCACUCCAUGAUUUAUAACAGUUUCUUAUAUAUCGUUGAUAGAAUAUUUUGAAUAUUGUGGAAACUAAAUUAUCACUACUUGGCCAGUCUGGACUUGGAUUUCGGCCCAAGUGGUUUACAUGGUGGGCCAUAACAGAUGAUUGGUUCACCUCCUGGCAUUAGUCGGAAGAUAUUUCAAACUCAGGUCAGGCAGUGUGGUACGCUUUCGGGCUAGUCCACUCUGUAGCACUAAGUGCGUUCCUCUCGGGGUCAACCGGAUCAGCCGAUAAGAUUUAUAAAAAAAAAUAUAUAUUUUGAAUAUUUACUAUAUUAAUUUAUUUUCCUUAGUUCGAUCUCUUGAAAUAGAUACAACUAGAGUUUCGUACACAUGUCCGUGUAUUUGGUUAAUAGAAUAGAUAUAUGAAUUAAUGUAAUGGUUGCACAAACAUGCGUCCCAUGUUUGUUCAAUUUAUAAUAUAUAACAUUUAUAAUUGAUCGACGGUAUUUAAUUGCCUAUAAGUUGUUGAUUGUUCAUAUUGUGAUUAGAUAUAAAACAAAUCAAAAUAAUAUGUUAUAUAAUAUAUUCGUCAAUUAGUAUUUUUAACUAUAGUAACCAUUUUUAUGUAUUUUAUUUUUAUUUUAAUUAAAACACCAAUUAUUAUAUUUAUGUAUAUUAUUAUAUAUAUAUUUCCAAAAAUGUAUUUAUGUUUCAAUAAGAUAGAUAGAUAUAUCUCUAAGUUUUUUUAUAUGCAAAAUAAAUUUUACUUCUAUGUUCAGUCUUGUGGAAAAUAUUAAAUUAAAAUUUGUUUGUUGUAUUCUUAUAAUCAAAAAUAUGUGUGUGUGUGUGUUAAUUAUAUUAAUCAUAAAAUAAUUUAACAUAUAUUUGAAAACUAACUAUAUAUGUUUUAACAAAAAAAUUAUUGUUUAUAUUUUGUAUGUGAAAUGACAUAAUAAUAUACAUGAACAUAUAGCAUUUAAAGGUUGUAGUCACAUUUUCAAUAAAUUUGUUUAAUUUAUUGUAAAAUCUUUUUGGAGAAUAAUCCGGUUAAAGGGUAACUGUAAUUUUGAUUAUAGAAUAAUAUAAUAAAAUAAAUGAUUUUUAGUUAAUUAACUAAAUUUUGGAUAGAGAAAAACCUAACAAAAUAAUUAAUUAAUUAAUAGUUACUAAUUCAGUGGCACACGUUGGUAAAUAUUAAGGUGAAUUAAAUGUUAUUUUCAAAAGAUACAUCAAUUUUAAUAAUAUAGACUCAUAGUUUAUUGAAUGGUAUAUAAUAUAAUCAAACAAAAAGUAAUGAAAAAUAUGACUGAUUUAGAUGAGCCAAUGAUAAUUGUUAAUGUUUUAUCUAAAUUUUUUAAUCUUAUAUUAAAUUAAUAGGAACAAAGUUUUUUUCUUAAUUACUAUUUUAUAUAUUGUUUUAAAAUUUUAGAAAUUGUCUUAAAUAGCCACAAAACAUGCUUUUAUUUCCAAACUAGACCACAAGGUUUAGAGUGAUCAAAAUAUAUAUCAUUAAAGGGGUAAAUGACAGUGAUACAUUUUUCUACAGAUAUAUUAAAUAAAUAAAUAUUUAAAUGAAAAAAAUUUCGAAUUUUACUAUGAAACGACUAAACAUUUUUGGAAAACCUUCCUAAAUGUAUAUGAUAUCUACAUGCAUUUGAAUUAUAUGCAUAUUUAGGAAAACAUUACUGAAUAAAUAUAAUAUUUCUUAAAAUUUAGGAAUAUAUUAAUAAUAUGUAUAAUAUCUUCAUAAAGUUCAUGAAAAUUUUCAUAAAUGUGUAUUUAAGAAUACAUUCUGAAUUGAAUAUUUAGGAAGAUCUUCGUAGAUAUAUAAUUUAUAAAUAACUUACUAAAUUUGAAUUAUAUGUAUAUUUAGUAAGAUAUUCUUGAAUAUGUAUAACAUAUUCUUAAAGUUAUGGGAAGACUUUUCUGAAUUUGAUAUCUAAAUUUUAUAAAUAUUUAAAUAUGCAUAUAAAUCAAAUUCAAGAAGAUGUUAUACACAUUUAGGAAGACCUUCCUAAAUACAUACAUGUUACAUUAAAGAAGUCUAAUUGCAAGUUUAUGAAGGUAUUUCUGAAUUUAUUAAAAAUAAAAUUGAAAAAUUCUGGAAGAUAUCCUACAUAUUCAUGAAUAUUUUCCUAAACUAUUUUUAAGAAAAAAUGUUUUUCAAAUUUUUUUUGGGGAGAAACUAGAAAAAAAAAUUAGAAUGUUAUUUUUUGGAAAAGUAAAAUUGUGAAUAAAGGUAUAAAUAUCAUUUAUAUAUAUAUUUGAUAAAUAAAUAAGUAAAAUUAUAAAUGAAUGUAUAAUUAUCAUUUAUCCAUUUAACAAAAUUUAAUUUGGUCAUUUUAAUAAUUAGAGACUAUUUACGAAUUUGAAGAUUUGCCUUUUUAAUUUUGUUUUGUUUUGUUUUACACUAACGUUUUCCAGGCGCCUUUGGUAGUUUAUUUCAAAACCAAAUAUCAUUGUAAAAUGCAUGUUUAGAUUUAUAGGUUUUUAACGUACAUUAAAUGAGUUAUGAAUGGGUUGUUCUGGUGUUCAAAAAAAGAAAAGAAUAGAUUGUUCUAUGUUACUUGUCUAUAUGUUAUGCUUUUAACUAGACUUUAGAUCUAGUAGCUAAUAACAAAAGUGUUUUUUUGACAAAAUAAAUGAUAAAGUAAAUGAAAAUCAUCUUGUGGUUUAAUUAAUUAAUGGGAUAAAAUACAUAAUUUGGAAAUUUAAACUAACAGCAUGUUAUAAUUAGUAAUUGCCACAAACAUUUUCGCUUCAUACAAACAACUAAAAAAGUUAAACCAUCUGACUUAUAGUCCACCAUUGAAAGUCCUUGUGAUCUUAAUGGUUACGUUUUAUUUUCACAAGCUUACUCACAUGUAUUUUUUCUGCAUAUUGUACGAACAGACAAAUUUAGUAUUUGGUAAUAAGCUGAUAAACCAAUUAGCCUUUGGAUGACAUGGUGUCCACUCUUCAAACCACCACAAAGUUCCCUAUCUAUUAUCGGCGACAAUAUCAAAUAGGAUGUAAGCCACUAAACUUAACCAUCAUUUGUUUGUACAUUAUAUUUGAAUAUAAAAUUAAAUAAGCCAUCUCAUCAGUUAAAACUCCAUAAUUCGUUUUCAACAUUCACACAGCGGAUAAUUCACGCAACGUAUCAAUGUAUCAUUCACACAGGGCCGCAAAGUGUAUUUGGAAACCAGGUAAAUAUUCCUCCCUCUAUUUUACGAAUAUAAAAGUUUUGGACAUUUUCAUGCACUUUUUAAAAAUAAUUUUACAAUAGCAAUCAAUCAUUACUGUUUCAAAUGUCAUAAUUUUCAAAAAAAAAAAUAAUUUAUUUUAAUAAUAAUGAUCUUAGCUAGUAUGAGUAAAAAGAGUAAACAAACUAAAAAUUACAUUAAAACACAUAACUCCCAUUUUUAUUAAAUGAGUAAUAAUCUUAAAUUUUUAUCUUUGAUCGGAGUAAGAAAUUAUUUUAAACUGAGAGAGCCACAUUUCAUGUUACUUGGACUCGAAGCAGUCGCUGAUCACACCUUUUGUUUUUCCAUAUUAGAGCAUCGCCAAUGAGGAACAUCAUUUUGGGGAUGGAUAAUAUUUAAAAUGAAAGUUCGAGGAUGAAUUGUUCCAAAACCUACAUAUUUUUUGAAUUUGUUAAUAUAUUACAUUUUAAUAUUUAGCUUUAAUAAUAAUCAAUUAUAAGCACUAAAAUUUUAUAAGUAAGUAAUAAAUAUACAAUUAAAACAUCAAAUUGAGAUUUUAGGAUUUUCUUAUAUUGUAAAACCAAAAAUUCAUAUAUGAGUCAUAAACCAAACAUCAAAUUUGAGAUUUAAGGAUUUUCUUAUUUUUGGUUUUACAAUAUUUAUGACUCAUAUAUGAACUUUUGGUUUUACUGAUAAUAUAUAUUUGAGUAUUAAAGUGAAAUAUUAUUAUAAAAAUUAAAGUGAUACCUAAAUAAUAUUAGUAGAAUAAUAUGUAAGUUAUAUAAUUAUAAAGAAUAAAAUGAAAAGUAAAUAAUUUUUUGAGGUUUUGAAUAGUAAAACAUCAAAUUUGAGAUUUUAUUAUUCAGACACUCAAAAAUUUGAAAGUUUAAAAAUUUGUUGGAAAAGUUAAAAACUUAAAAUUUGAAGGUUUAAGAACAUGUUGGAGAUGCUCUUAGCUGAUCAAAAUUGAGGAGAAAUUUCGAAAAAAGAUGCGCUGGGAUGGGUUGUUAAUUUUUCCAAUUCCAUAUCAGCUGGCUACUUGGACCAUCUAUAAUCCGGGUUACACUGAACACUUACAUGACAUCCUGAUUAUUACCGUAGUCGAAUAGCUCUAACACUCGUUGGGAGAGGACUCCCACUAAAUUAUACGCCCUCUGUUUGAAUUUUUUAAUUAGUCAGUGUUUAAGGUUUUUACACAACUAUUAAGAAAUUGUUAACUUUUAUUCAUUUUGCAUUAGUUAAGCUUAAUCCAACUAAAAAUUAUUCAAUAAAAAGUUAGUCAAAAACACCAAAUAACAUUAAAAUUUUGCAUAGAAAUUUGAAAAUAUUAUUUAAAUUGAAACAAAAAUAAAUAUUAAAACGCCAACUAAAAAGAAAAGAGGGAGUAUAUAUUAGUGGAUUCAGAUAUCCGUGACUAAAUUUAUUGAUUCUUUUAAAAUGAUAAUCCCACACGUUACUCAUUGUAAUGAAGCCAAUUAGCAUAAUGAAAUAUAAGAAAAUCCUUUGAAAAUAAAAUAAAAAUAUGUAAUAUUAUUUAGAUUAUAUGUUAUAUAUAUGAUAUAUUACAAGUAGCAACAAGAGAUGAAUAGUUUCGUGAAUAUUCAGGUUGAUACAGAAUUUUCUUAGAUGUGUGAUGAGUGGACAAAAAUGAAUGAUGUUUGCAAGUUGAUUAUAUAUUAUAUAAUGUAAGUGCAUGCUUUUGAUUCUCGAAACUAUUUGCUUAUAACUUACGGAUAUAUAAGUUAUAUAUAAGUUCGGCUUGGACGUAAAAGUCUAAAUAUAAUUUGUUAUACAUUGCUUGCUACACUACAUUCUUUUUAUUGGUACGAUACUUUAUGAUUCGUUAUCACUAUAUUAUUACUACCUUGACAAAAACAUUAUUAAUUAGUGAUCUUAGAUGCUAAUAAACCAGCCAUCUUGAUUAUGCAAAUAUGUAUUCCAAAAAAGAAGCAACAUUGCUCUUCAUACGCAAGUCUUUAUAACCAAUAGUCCAAAUAAUUAAUAAAUUAUAAUAGGUGUGUAACCAAAGAAACUUACGAGAUACGACCUAACCGGUUUGGAUCAUAUAUAUAGAACAAUACUAUAGUUAGCCACACAUAAUGGAUAAUUAUUUGAUAAAAUUAAAAAAAAUGUAUAACUAAAGUGAUGCAUAGAUAACCAAUGGCUGUAAAAAUGCACUCGUAUAUUGCCUUUUGUGUCAGCCCAAUUUGGCUAUAUAAGCAAGUACGCUCUUGUCUGGUGUAAUCAUUCACAGUUAUAAGGCUCAUAGUCAAGUACAAUAUUGAUACAUCAAUACAAUCAAGAAAGAGAAACCUAUAGAAAAAGAAACAUAGAUCAAAUGGAGAGUGAGAAAAUGUGGGGAGGCUUAAUGAAUAGAGUGAAACCAUACUUAGCAAUGAUAUCUAUGCAAUUUGGUUAUGCCGGUAUGUACAUAAU
Molecule: long non-coding RNA, 6817 nt
Filed under: Brassica napus (rape)
Lineage: Eukaryota; Viridiplantae; Streptophyta; Magnoliopsida; Brassicales; Brassicaceae
Description: long non-coding RNA (BNAP_LNC024924)
Source: RNAcentral